CAAUAGCGUAUAUUAAUGUUGUUGCAGUUAAAAAGCUCGUAGUCGGAUUUUUGUGUCAUGUCGAACUGUCUGCCGAUUGGUUUGUACGGUUUGACGGGCAUAUUCCUUCCAGAGGCUCCGUGAGGCCUUCAUUGGUUUCGCGGUUGAAUCUGGGUCUUUUACUUGAGAAAAUUAGAGUGUUCAAAGCAGGCCUAUGCUCUGAAUAGGUUAGCAUGGAAUAAUAGAAUAGGACUUUGGUUCUAUUUUGUUGGUUUCUAGGACCGAAGUAAUGAUUAAUAGGGAUAGUUGGGGGUAUUCAUAUUCCAUUGUCAGAGGUGAAAUUCUUGGAUUAACGGAAGAUGAACUACUGCGAAAGCAUCUGCCAAGGAUGUUUUCAUUGAUCAAGAACGAAAGUUAGGGGAUCGAAGACGAUUAGAU
RNAcentral lists this ribosomal RNA (417 nucleotides) under uncultured eukaryote. Its description in RNAcentral is "SSU rRNA". It matches the Rfam family "Eukaryotic small subunit ribosomal RNA", at positions 592 to 1013 of the family's 1831-position model. The record is from RNAcentral.